RNAcentral lists this ribosomal RNA (253 nucleotides) under uncultured bacterium. RNAcentral's name for it is "partial 16S ribosomal RNA". It matches the Rfam family "Bacterial small subunit ribosomal RNA", at positions 524 to 776 of the family's 1533-position model. The record is from RNAcentral.
UACAGAGGGGGCAAGCGUUAUUCGGAAUUAUUGUGCGUAAAGGGCGCGUCGGCGGCCUGGCAAGUGACGGGUGAAAGCCCUCGGCUCAACCGAGGAACUGCCUGUCAUACUGCCGGGCUUGAGUCCGGGAGAGGUGAGUGGAAUUCCCAGUGUAGCGGUGAAAUGCGUAGAUAUUGGGAGGAACACCAGUGGCGAAGGCGGCUCACUGGACCGGAACUGACGCUGAGGCGCGAAAGCGUGGGGAGCAAACAGG